Molecule: long non-coding RNA, 559 nt
Filed under: Brassica napus (rape)
Lineage: Eukaryota; Viridiplantae; Streptophyta; Magnoliopsida; Brassicales; Brassicaceae
Description: long non-coding RNA (BNAP_LNC023852)
Source: RNAcentral
UUGAGCAAUAGAUUUUUGGCUUGAGGAGGCAUCGUUAUGAUUGAGUAAGAGGAGGGAUGUGGAGAGUUAGACGCCGAUUUGUCUGAAGGAGUAAUUAAGUAGCUUUGUUUCGUCAUUAUAGCCGUCGCAAGCGUUAUACGGAGGAGAUAGGAAGACAGUGAGUUCUGGAAGGUUUUCUGUAGACGUCGUAACAAAAUUAGGUUGAAGUAAGAAGAUGGCAAAACAAAUGGGCCAUUAAAGCUAAAUGGUCUAUUACGCAGCACAGAUUCGUGGCCCAACAACUUAACAUCCAUGAUGACAUGGACAAAUGAUUGGUUGCGAAUUUUUUCGCUGACGUGGACAGCUUAAGAGGGCUUCAUAUUCUCCUUUUAAUAGUGUAAGAUUUAUUUGUUUCGAUAUAUUUAUUUGUUUGAAAUAUCAUUAAUUUAUGUUAACAUAUUAAAUGUCUCUAUUAAUCUUUUCGUAACCAGGUUAAAAUCUUUCUUAAAAUUUAAAAUACUCUACAUUUAAUAAUAAUAAAAAAAUUCUAUCAUCUUAUGUAUAUUAUAUAUUUUCUUAU